RNAcentral lists this ribosomal RNA (473 nucleotides) under uncultured bacterium. RNAcentral's name for it is "bacterial SSU rRNA". It matches the Rfam family "Bacterial small subunit ribosomal RNA", at positions 28 to 499 of the family's 1533-position model. The record is from RNAcentral.
GAUGAACGCUGGCGGCGUGCUUAACACAUGCAAGUCGAACGAAGCACUUUGAUCGAUUUCUUCGGAUUGAAAUUUUAGUGACUGAGUGGCGGACGGGUGAGUAACGCGUGGGUAACCUGCCUCACACAGGGGGAUAACAGUUGGAAACGGCUGCUAAUACCGCAUAAGCGCACAGUACCGCAUGGUACAGUGUGAAAAACUCCGGUGGUGUGAGAUGGACCCGCGUCUGAUUAGCUAGUUGGCAGGGCAACGGCCUACCAAGGCGACGAUCAGUAGCCGACCUGAGAGGGUGACCGGCCACAUUGGGACUGAGACACGGCCCAAACUCCUACGGGAGGCAGCAGUGGGGAAUAUUGCACAAUGGGGGAAACCCUGAUGCAGCGACGCCGCGUGAGCGAAGAAGUAUUUCGGUAUGUAAAGCUCUAUCGGCAGGGAAGAAGAAAUGACGGUACCUGACUAAGAAGCACCGGCUA